GAUGAACGCUCGCUACAGGCUUAACACAUGCAAGUCGAGGGGAAACGACAUCGAAAGCUUGCUUUUGAUGGGCGUCGACCGGCGCACGGGUGAGUAACGCGUAUCCAACCUGCCCAUCACUUGGGAAUAACCUUGCGAAAGUAAGACUAAUACCCAAUGAUAUCCCACGAAGGCAUCGGAAUGGGAUUAAAGAUUUAUCGGUGAUGGAUGGGGAUGCGUCUGAUUAGCUUGUUGGCGGGGUAACGGCCCACCAAGGCAACGAUCAGUAGGGGUUCUGAGAGGAAGGUCCCCCACAUUGGAACUGAGACACGGUCCAAACUCCUACGGGAGGCAGCAGUGAGGAAUAUUGGUCAAUGGGCGAGAGCCUGAACCAGCCAAGUAGCGUGCAGGAAGAUGGCCCUAUGGGUUGUAAACUGCUUUUAUAAGGGAAUAAAGUGGGUCACGUGUGACUUUUUGCAUGUACCUUAUGAAUAAGGACCGGCUAAUUCCGUG
RNAcentral lists this ribosomal RNA (492 nucleotides) under uncultured bacterium. RNAcentral describes it as "partial 16S ribosomal RNA". It matches the Rfam family "Bacterial small subunit ribosomal RNA", at positions 28 to 507 of the family's 1533-position model. The record is from RNAcentral.